This is a long non-coding RNA of Pipistrellus kuhlii (Kuhl's pipistrelle), 860 nucleotides long. RefSeq lists it as uncharacterized. NCBI's taxonomy places the organism in Eukaryota, Metazoa, Chordata, Mammalia, Chiroptera, Vespertilionidae. The transcript is spliced from 2 exons. The record is from RefSeq and is a predicted model, not a curated record.
UUUCCACAGUUGAGACAGUGAGCACUUGGGACUGGAAGGGACCCAGGCCACAUGUGUCCCUGGGCCUCAGCUGACAAGCAAAUGUGAAUGUUCACCCUCUGCUCCUCACCUGUAGGGAGAGCAGGUGUCUGAGGGUCUGAGUGGCUCCAUGUCCUUUCUCCAAUUGCCCUUUCCUGGGGCCUGGGGCCUUAGCACCCUGCUCCCCACUCUGUCUGCCAAAUUCCCUGACUUGUGUUUUCAGUAGGUGGGGGCAUGGGAAGGGUGUGAAUUUUCCUUCAAUGUCCUGUUCGCCUGAUGUAAAAUGAAGGCUGGCUUGGGGAAGCCUGCAGGGCACGGCAGUGUUUCUGACCUCGGUUUGAGAAGCUCUGAGAGAGGACACUGCGGCUUGGUGGUCCUGCCCAGGAAUCCCUGGGUUCCUGGGUGGUCUCUGCGCUUGACUGCCUUCCCCCACAUUUGAGAAAGAGGUUGGAGGGAGUGGGGGAACCAGGGUACCCUAGGACACUGCUGAAAGACGUGGUGGCCUCAGGACCCCUCUGGCUUACUAAGCCCAGGGGCAGUGGGACCCAGAACAGCCAGGGCUGAAAGCGUGGGAGGGAGGGUGAGGAUGGGGAGGGACCCUCCAAUCACCUCUCCAACGCUCUCCCCUUUGCUUGAUAGCUGGCUCUGGAUUCAUUCCACAAACAUUAGCCAGUACACACUCUGUGCUGGACCAGCCUGCGGUGGCUUACCAAUCCAGAGACUGAUUUGCAAGCAGGGCCUUGUGGAGUCCCCAUGAAAUAGCUCAGACGUGAGCCUAGCACACAGUAGGCGCUCAGUAAAUAUUUGUCUAAGGAAUGAAAGGAGGCAUUGCCAGCAGCAUC